UGGGUCGUCCUUAUAUUCCUCAGUGUCACUUUGUAACUCCUUCGGCAUCUGUUGUUAUAGCAACGGGUCACUGACUUUGCCUCUCUCGUGUUCUCCAUCACUGUAUGCAAUGAAGUAACGAGUCAACAAAAUUAAUGUGUAGCAAUGGAUGCAUUAAUUUUUUUACAGAGGCUAUCACUGGUAAUGACUAUCAGGAGAUACAGUAAAUGUUCUAUCAGGAGUGCAUGACAAUCGCUAUAAUAAUACACUACAGGCAGGUGGUCCACUGCGCAUGUGUAUUAGUACACUUGCGGUGUCUGGGACAGAUUUUGCAAUCUACCCACAAUACUCGCAACACCUUGUAGCUAGUACUCCUGCGGUCUUCUAUCCGAUAGAGGACCGCAGGAGUAGACUACUGACUAUCGGUGGGAACUGUCGGUCUCCAUGGCAUCUCCUUGGAGACUCUGACGUCAAUGGUCUGGAAUAUUCCCAGAUCCAGUUCCAGAAGCUCAGUUCCUUUGAAGUUUGAAGAAGAAGCAAGUGUCUAGCUGGAAGAGAACCAUCGCAAAGCCUUCCACUGUGUUGCAGAACCAUCGCGAGCCUUCCACUGUGUUGCAGAACCAUCGCGAGCCUUUCACUGUGUUGCAGAACCAUCGCGAGCCUUCCACUGUGUUGCAGAACCAUCGCAAAGCCUUCCACUGUGUUGCAGAACCAUCGCAAAGCCUUCCACUGUGUUGCAGAACCAUCGCAAGCCUUCCACUGUGUUGCAGAACCAUUGCGAGCUUUCCAGCGGAGCAGCGCGAGGAUUCUCCAGCCAUGGAAGGAUAGAUCCGACUGCACUGCAAGAGCUAUUGUAAGUUGAAACCCUAGCUCUGCAUGUUUGUCUUGUUUGUAGCUAGCUUGUUGUAUGUGUUGUAGCAACUAGAUUGUUCAUUCUGGCCUUCCUUCGAGUGUAUCGGGUUUACGCGCUGUUUGUUGAGAAUGGAAGGUUUUUGGUUGGUGAUUAUUUUGCUCUUGUAUUCCUAGUGUUUUAAGUGUGGUGGCCCCUUCUUGACUGUGAGGUGUGUAGGUCAUGCAGCUUAAUAGAUACAUACUUGCCAGCAAAGCGCACGUUAAAUACAUGUAUGCAUGGCUAAACUCGUGUCGACAACGCUUUUUAUGUUUAUUUACUGUUAGUAUACGCGUGGCUAAGAGUCUAUUACCUGCAUGGCCUUGAACCCUGGGGGGAGGGGGGGUGGCCGUAGCACUCAAGUAAUCAAUCAGAAUGUGUGUGGGAGGUUCUUCAACAGUUGGGUCGCAGGACAGCAUCUUCUUGUUCUUGGAACCCUUGUCGAACCAGCCUUUGGGGUGCAAUGAUGGAUUACUCAUGGCACUCCAGUCUAUUGAGGGAGCACUCUGCUGUUAGUACCUGCCUAAAGGGAAAGCAGCACAGGAUCCUGCCAUAAUAGGGAGUGUUAUGAUCUCGUUAUCAGUUCCAAUAGUUAGUUAGCUAGGAUCAUUAGAAAAUAGCUUAGCUAUAAUAUAGUUAGACAACUGCUGCUUCUUGGCUUAUGCUAAUAUAGACAGCUUUUUUAGGAUCCUAACUCUGUGCCUACUGCACAUGGAAUUGGUAAGUUCAGGCUUUAACUAAACCCUAGGUGUGCCAAGGGAACUGUAGCCUUUGACUGGAUUAGUGAAGAGUAGUCUUGAGCACUUGUACAAGCCUUGCGUGUCAGGCUUGUUGCAACUGGAGUCGACAAGGGCUUCAAGAGGAAGGAGGGGUUGUCUCUGUGAGUCUACUGUUGUUGAACCAUCCCACACAUUCUGGUUGAUUACUUCUGUGCUCAGUUAAUGGUACUCACAGUCACAGGGUCCCUUUAGUUUAUUAUGCCCUUUGUUGAAUCUGUCCCUUGAGCAAGGAAACUACUGGUGAUAAUGUUCUCAAUGGUGGUGAUGUUGUCAGUUCUGGUGGUAAUUGGUUGGUAUUAUUUUGUUUUCUAAGGUUGUGGAGAUUUGUUGAUGAUCGGUUUUGUUUGAACUGCUGCGCUCAAUGUAACCAUCAUUUGCUUGUCCUCUUGCAGCCACAAUGCACACACACACAGCUCCUCCUACUAGCUACUGUACUAGUGUUCCAUUCUCUCACUGCUUUUGUCUCCUCUCUCCCCCAGGUACAGACAAGCCAUGCUGCUCUGGGACCCAGGGAGGAUUACUAACCUGAUCACUGUAUAAUGUAUUGCAGGUACUGAAGGGGGCGGGGCUCAGAUCUCACCGCCCACUACUAUCAUUGUGUGAUUAUAUAAUUAGUGUCUCUUGAGUAUGUGUGUAGGUGCAUGGAUUGUCUUGUGAGCAGCCAUGGAGACAUUCAAGACAAGUAUGGCUGGCUACAUGUACAGUGUCUUUCAUGCAUUCUAUUGUGUGUAGGUUGACGUCCCCCUGUACAGGAAAGAUAAGUAGCUCCAUUGAGUACAGUAUAUGUCUUAUGCUCUGCUCCCUAUGUAUAACUGUAUGGUUGUGGCAGAACCACUGUAACAGCAUACACACAGAUAAGUAGCUAGCUAUGUUGUAUGGCAAAUCUUUCAUGCUCCCCUGUGCAGGUUGAUGGUGUGUGGGAGGAGCCACUGUAACAGCAUACACACAGAUGAGUAGCUAGCUAUGUUGUAUGGCAAGUCUUUCAUGCUCUCUGUGUAGGUUGAUGGUGUGUGGAGGAGCCACUGUAACAGCAUACACACAGAUGAGUAGCUAGCUAUGUUGUGUGGCAAAUCUUUCAUGCUCUCUGUGUAGGUUGAUUGUGUGUGGAGGAGCCACUGUAACAGCAUACACACAAAUGAGUAGCUAGCUAUGUUGUAUGGCAAGUCUUUCAUGCUCUCUGCAUGCAGGUUGAUGGUUCUGUAUAUAUAUAUAUGGAUGGACAAGUUGAUGGUUGAUCUGGCACUAUCUAAUACUGAAUGGCUGCUGUACCCCUAACCCCUUGGCCUAUAAUUUUAAUUAUGGAACAACGUAACACUUUAAUGUUUUGUAAGAACAAUAGUUUAGUAUAAAAUUGUAGCAAUAAUAACUGUAAUCUUAAUAAUUAUUGAAGUUGACA
Long non-coding RNA from Halichondria panicea, 3043 nucleotides. RefSeq lists it as uncharacterized. Lineage: Eukaryota; Metazoa; Porifera; Demospongiae; Suberitida; Halichondriidae. The transcript is spliced from 2 exons. The record is from RefSeq and is a predicted model, not a curated record.